RNAcentral lists this small RNA (29 nucleotides) under Bombyx mori (domestic silkworm). RNAcentral describes it as "ovarian small RNA-30911". The record is from RNAcentral. Lineage: Eukaryota; Metazoa; Arthropoda; Insecta; Lepidoptera; Bombycidae.
UGAAGAUGUAACACAGCAAUAGCUGAUCC